Molecule: ribosomal RNA, 36 nt
Filed under: Delastria faustiniana
Lineage: Eukaryota; Fungi; Ascomycota; Pezizomycetes; Pezizales; Pezizaceae
Description: partial 28S ribosomal RNA
Source: RNAcentral
UUGACCUGAGAUCGGGUGGGAAUACCCGCUGAACUU